This 253-nucleotide ribosomal RNA is filed under the name uncultured prokaryote. RNAcentral's name for it is "partial 16S ribosomal RNA". It matches the Rfam family "Bacterial small subunit ribosomal RNA", at positions 524 to 776 of the family's 1533-position model. The record is from RNAcentral.
UACAGAGGUCCCAAGCGUUGUUCGGAUUCACUGGGCGUAAAGGGUGCGUAGGUGGUGAGGUAAGUCGGAUGUGAAAUCUCCGGGCUCAACCCGGAAAUGGCAUUGGAAACUACCUUGCUGGAGGAUUUGAGGGGGGAUUGGAAUACUUGGUGUAGCAGUGAAAUGCGUAGAUAUCAGGAGGAACACCCGUGGCGAAAGCGGCUCUCUGGGACGGUACUGACACUGAGACACGAAAGCCAGGGGAGCAAACGGG